GCAUAUCAAUAAGCGGAGGAAAAGAAACCAACAGGGAUUGCCCUAGUAACGGCGAGUGAAGCGGCAACAGCUCAAAUUUGAAAUCUGGCUUCGGCCCGAGUUGUAAUUUGUAGAGGAAGCUUUAGGCGCGGCACCUUCUGAGUCCCCUGGAACGGGGCGCCAUAGAGGGUGAGAGCCCCGUAUAGUUGGAUGCCUAGCCUGUGUAAAGCUCCUUCGACGAGUCGAGUAGUUUGGGAAUGCUGCUCAAAAUGGGAGGUAAAUUUCUUCUAAAGCUAAAUACCGGCCAGAGACCGAUAGCGCACAAGUAGAGUGAUCGAAAGAUGAAAAGCACUUUGAAAAGAGGGUUAAAUAGCACGUGAAAUUGUUGAAAGGGAAGCGCUUGUGACCAGACUUGCGCCGGGCUGAUCAUCCGGUGUUCUCACCGGUGCACUCUGCCCGGCUCAGGCCAGCAUCGGUUCUCGCGGGGGGAUAAAGGCCCAGGGAAUGUAGCUCCUCCGGGAGUGUUAUAGCCCGGGGCGCAAUGCCCUCGCGGGGACCGAGGUUCGCGCUCUGCAAGGAUG
Molecule: ribosomal RNA, 560 nt
Filed under: Amesomyces atrobrunneus
Lineage: Eukaryota; Fungi; Ascomycota; Sordariomycetes; Sordariales; Chaetomiaceae
Also listed under: 1 other name
Description: eukaryotic LSU rRNA
Rfam family: Eukaryotic large subunit ribosomal RNA
Source: RNAcentral